CCUACGGGUGGCUGCAGUGGGGAAUAUUGGACAAUGGGCGAAAGCCUGAUCCAGCCAUGCCGCGUGUGUGAAGAAGGCCUUCGGGUUGUAAAGCACUUUCAGUGGGGAAGAAAGCCUUGGGGCUAAUACCCUCGAGGAAGGACAUCACCCACAGAAGAAGCACCGGCUAACUCCGUGCCAGCAGCCGCGGUAAUACGGAGGGUGCGAGCGUUAAUCGGAAUUACUGGGCGUAAAGCGCGCGUAGGCGGUCUGGUAAGCCGGUUGUGAAAGCCCCGGGCUCAACCUGGGAACGGCAUCCGGAACUGUCAGGCUAGAGUGCAGUAGAGGAAGGUAGAAUUCCCGGUGUAGCGGUGAAAUGCGUAGAGAUCGGGAGGAAUACCAGUGGCGAAGGCGGCCUUCUGGACUGACACUGACGCUGAGGUGCGAAAGCGUGGGUAGCAAACAGGAUUAGAUACCCCGGUAGUC
This 465-nucleotide ribosomal RNA is filed under the name Vreelandella stevensii. Its description in RNAcentral is "partial 16S ribosomal RNA". It matches the Rfam family "Bacterial small subunit ribosomal RNA", at positions 338 to 795 of the family's 1533-position model. Lineage: Bacteria; Pseudomonadati; Pseudomonadota; Gammaproteobacteria; Oceanospirillales; Halomonadaceae. The record is from RNAcentral.